Molecule: long non-coding RNA, 1424 nt
Organism: Dermochelys coriacea (leatherback sea turtle)
Lineage: Eukaryota; Metazoa; Chordata; Testudines; Dermochelyidae
Exons: 2
Source: RefSeq, a predicted model, not a curated record
GCUGUAGGGGAAGUAGUCUGCAAUUGUUGUCUAGCUGGAGGGAGGUGUGUCGGGAGGCUACAGAGUUUGGUAGGAAGCCGAAAACAGGUAUAUUCUACAGUUAGUCCCUGGAAAGAGGGAGUUUGGGCGGGUAAACCCAGAGAAGGGGGCCAGAAGUUAGAGAAAGGAAGGAGUCCAGGGAUAUAGCAACAGGGUCUAGGAGCCAGCAGACCACAGUUGCUAGACAUAGGGUCCCUGGACUGGAACCUGGAGUAGUGCGUGGGCCUUGAUUCCACUACCAGGUGCUGGAAAGUGGCACAGGACUUGGCCUUGUAUCUGAAGGCUGUCGGGAAUGGCUUGCGGAUGGCUGAUCCAGUGGGACUUUGAUACCCCGGGAGGGGAGGACAGUACAGUGACCUGGCUGGAGGAUGGAGUGAUGAAGAGGGAGCACCACGAGUCCUGGAGAGUGAGGGGGGACACAGUGUGAGCAACCAUGAAGAGGGGGAUUCUGCCAUGGAACGAGCUAAUCCCUGGAUGCAGCCAUAAAGAGGCAUCCCAAUGAGGCUAGUGAAUUCAGAUCUGCAGAGAUGCACUUGGUUGCAAAACUCACCAGACUGUUGAGCACCUGAUUUUAUUUCCUGGGUUCCCACAGUAUACACAGGUAACUUACUACUUUAUCUAAGCAUGUGAGGGAUAAAGUAUAGGACUUGCAGGGCAGCAGAAACCACAUCAUCCAAGUACAUAAGCUUCUCCUGAAUUCUUCAUGUGUUCCAUCCCUGCAUCAUCUAGGACCAAAUUCUUGGCAAUGGAAACUUUUGUCACUGACCACAUUGAGACUAGAAUUUGGCUCACAGUAGAUGUAGCGAAAGUUUAAAUCACGUAACCUCUCCUUGCCUCAAUUUCCCCAUCAGCAAACCAUGGGUGAUAACUCUACCAUGCCCUACAGAAGGCUUCACCCAUGGAGCUUAAGAAGAGUCUUUCCAAUGACUUCAGUGGGUGCUGGACCAAGAGAAGAAGCUGAAUUAAUUAAUGUCUGAGAUCCUCAGUUGGAAGACACGGUAGACAUCCCAUUCACCACUAUGCAGACCAGACCCAACACAAGGCCUGUGUGCUACUCAAGUUCCAUGUAAGCCCUAAAAAUAAUUCACAGGGGUGAAUUUCACCAGCAAAGAGGAUGUUAGUUCUUAACUGGGCAACUCAUUUUAGUUGAGAAAUUCAAACCAACUCCACGCAUCUGGAGAGAUGAGGCAAAUGGAGAUAGUUCCUUCAUGUUCAUUUUUAUGUACCCAUGAAACGAAGAAAAUUGUUGUGCUCUCUGCUAUGAGUCUUCGCCUUUCUUCCUUCUUUAAGAAAAGGAAAAGAUUGAUGAGUGGACUGGAUCUCUUUCCUUUCUGUAUUUUUGUCCUGCUUUGGAAUGAAUGCAGGAAAAAAUAUCUACUACUAUU